Molecule: ribosomal RNA, 245 nt
Filed under: uncultured prokaryote
Description: partial 16S ribosomal RNA
Rfam family: Bacterial small subunit ribosomal RNA
Source: RNAcentral
AGAUUGAACGCUGGCGGCAUGCCUAACACAUGCAAGUCGAGCGGCAGCGCGGGGGGCAACCCUGGCGGCGAGCGGCGGACGGGUGAGUAAGGCAUCGGAAUCUGCCCUGAUGUGGGGGAUAACGUAGGGAAACUUACGCUAAUACGCAUACGACCGAGAGGUGAAAGACGGGGGACCGAAAGGACCUCGCGCAGCAGGAUGAAGCCGAUGUCGAUUAGCUGGUUGUGGGUUAAAGGCCGUACCAA